AGAUAGAUUUUUCCAUUACUUUUAUAACACACUUAAUAUUUUUUCUUUUUUCCUUGAAUAAAAGUUACAGAAUUAUGAAACAUGAAAAAUAUAUAUUUGUCAGUUAAGGCCAGAUUAAUCCAUCAAGGCCAGAUUAAUCCAUCGUUACACAUUUUCUCUCUCUAGAACUUCCUCUAACCUCUUUCUAAAGACACCAAUUUUUGAUUUCACGAUCUGGUGGCCGGUGGCCUUCCGCCGCCGGUCGCCACACUCUUUAUUUUUUUUGUUGUAUUAUAUCUCUUCCGUUUAAUUGGAUUUCGUCAGGCGAAUUAAUUUUUCUCCGGUUGCGGAUCAUUUGGAUCUGUUUAGAUCUAAGCUUCUUCUCCUUGAAGAUUUCAUAUUCCGGCUAUUUCUUCGGAUCUCCUUCUUCAUUCCGACCUAAGAAGAGUCAAAGCUUGCUAGUUUGCAAGUGUUUUGGCGAUGGCGGUCUUUGAAUCAAUUGAAGUUACUAGGAGAAUCUCACAUCCGACAAAGAGUAUUGGAGAUACUUGGGAGCAGAGGAGCACGGAGAUGAAGCACAAUACGAGUUCGGGAAGAUAUUGUUGCGAUGAGGCAUCAAAGCUGGGCUUAGAUCAACGCGGAAGACAAUCAAGGUGGAGAAACCUUCCAGCGGCGAACUAGUGAAGGAGCGGUGGUGGAGAUUGCAAAUUUUGCAUGAUGUCCGCAUGUCUACCACAUGUCUCUGGAAGCCCUGAUAUCAAACAUGUGUUUAUGUCAACGUGUCUUCUAUGUUCAUAAUUGGGCUUAAAUUAUACUAUUUGUUAAAUGUUGCUAUU
Molecule: long non-coding RNA, 815 nt
Organism: Brassica napus (rape)
Lineage: Eukaryota; Viridiplantae; Streptophyta; Magnoliopsida; Brassicales; Brassicaceae
Exons: 2
Source: RefSeq, a predicted model, not a curated record